This 484-nucleotide ribosomal RNA is filed under the name uncultured bacterium. RNAcentral's name for it is "bacterial SSU rRNA". It matches the Rfam family "Bacterial small subunit ribosomal RNA", at positions 28 to 507 of the family's 1533-position model. The record is from RNAcentral. RNAcentral also lists the same sequence under 1 other name.
GAUGAACGCUAGCGGCAGGCUUAACACAUGCAAGUCGAGGGGCAACACGGGUAGCAAUACCUGGUGGCGACCGGCGCAAGGGUGCGUAACGCGUGAGCAACAUACCCUAUACAGGGGGAUAAUCCAGGGAAACUUGGUCUAAUAUCCCAUAGGAUUUACAGAUGUCAUCAUCUAUAAAUUAAAGCUUCGGUGGUAUAGGAUUGGCUCGCGUGACAUUAGCUAGAUGGUGGGGUAACGGCCUACCAUGGCCAUGAUGUCUAGGGGUUCUGAGAGGAAGACCCCCCACACUGGGACUGAGACACGGCCCAGACUCCUACGGGAGGCAGCAGUGAGGAAUAUUGGACAAUGGAUGGAAAUCUGAUCCAGCCAUGCCGCGUGCAGGAAGACGGCCCUAUGGGUUGUAAACUGCUUUUAUAUGGGAGCAAUAAGGUCUACGCGUAGACCGAUGAGAGUACCAUAUGAAUAAGCAUCGGCUAACUCCGUG